Molecule: ribosomal RNA, 462 nt
Filed under: Escherichia coli
Lineage: Bacteria; Pseudomonadati; Pseudomonadota; Gammaproteobacteria; Enterobacterales; Enterobacteriaceae
Description: partial 23S ribosomal RNA
Rfam family: Bacterial large subunit ribosomal RNA
Source: RNAcentral
CGAAUGCUGACAUAAGUAACGAUAAAGCGGGUGAAAAGCCCGCUCGCCGGAAGACCAAGGGUUCCUGUCCAACGUUAAUCGGGGCAGGGUGAGUCGACCCCUAAGGCGAGGCCGAAAGGCGUAGUCGAUGGGAAACAGGUUAAUAUUCCUGUACUUGGUGUUACUGCGAAGGGGGGACGGAGAAGGCUAUGUUGGCCGGGCGACGGUUGUCCCGGUUUAAGCGUGUAGGCUGGUUUUCCAGGCAAAUCCGGAAAAUCAAGGCUGAGGCGUGAUGACGAGGCACUACGGUGCUGAAGCAACAAAUGCCCUGCUUCCAGGAAAAGCCUCUAAGCAUCAGGUAACAUCAAAUCGUACCCCAAACCGACACAGGUGGUCAGGUAGAGAAUACCAAGGCGCUUGAGAGAACUCGGGUGAAGGAACUAGGCAAAAUGGUGCCGUAACUUCGGGAGAAGGCACGCUGAU